Molecule: long non-coding RNA, 525 nt
Organism: Lineus longissimus
Lineage: Eukaryota; Metazoa; Nemertea; Pilidiophora; Heteronemertea; Lineidae
Exons: 2
Source: RefSeq, a predicted model, not a curated record
CAUCGCAAACACCUCAGUGCCAUGACUUCCUAGGAAGUAACGCUUACUUCAGGCUGUUGCUCGAUAACUCUGUUACUCAAGCUGUCCAGUUAGAAAUGAAGCUGUUGAUACUUUGCUUCGUGUUGUGUAUGUUUCUCUCGACAAUGGCAGAUCUCAGCCACGAGCGACACCAGAGAGCUCUUUGCAUGCUGAGGAUGGGCAGAGAUAUAGACAUGCUGAGGAUGGACAGGGGCAUGCGGGAGCUUGGAACUGACUCGGUGAGAAAAGACGAGUACUAUACCAAGGACCGGCGAAGAAGUUUCAGCUGCCAAGGCAAGCAACCGCGUGAGGAAUGUGGCCCGUGCAUGAAGUGCUGGAACAUCGGUAACGGCAUCGAGUGCGUCGAUGUUAGCAAGGUUCCUUCGCCUUAGGAUUUGUUGCCCCGGGAAAACAGUUCAAACAUGGCUGUGAUGUUUAUCAAAACAAUAAAAAAGGAAGAACUUUAAUAAACUUUCUUGCUUCUGUCCGUAGGAAACUUAUAAAACA